RNAcentral lists this ribosomal RNA (719 nucleotides) under uncultured bacterium. RNAcentral describes it as "bacterial SSU rRNA". It matches the Rfam family "Bacterial small subunit ribosomal RNA", at positions 54 to 749 of the family's 1533-position model. The record is from RNAcentral.
CAUGCAAGUCGGACGAGAAAGGAAGCUUCGGCUUCUGAGUACAGUGGCGCACGGGUGCGUAACACGUAAGUAAUCUACCCUGGACUCUGGGAUAACUCCCCGAAAGGGGGGCUAAGACUGGAUAGAGUACCUGAGGUGCAAGCCGCAGGAGGAAAACAGGCCUCUGGCACACGCUUGUGGUCCAGGAUGAGCUUGCGGCCCAUUAGCUAGUUGGUGGGGUAAGCGCUCACCAAGGCGACGAUGGGUAGCUGGUCUGAGAGGAUGAUCAGCCACACUGGCACUGAGAUACGGGCCAGACUCCUACGGGAGGCAGCAGUGGGGAAUUUUGCGCAAUGGGCGAAAGCCUGACGCAGUAACGCCGCGUGGAGGAUGACGGCCUUCGGGUUGUAAACUCCUGUCAGAGGGAACGAGAGCCCGCAAGGGAAGACCUUGCUUGGCGAGACGGUACCCUCAAAGGAAGCCCCGGCUAAUUCCGUGCCAGCAGCCGCGGUAAUACGGAAGGGGCAAGCGUUGUUCGGAAUCAUUGGGCGUAAAGGGCGCGCAGGUGGUCCUAUGUGUCUACUGUGAAAGCACACGGCUCAACCGUGUCGGGUCGGUGGAAACUGUAGGACUUGAGGCUGGGAGGGGCUGGUGGAAUUCCCUGUGUAGCGGUGAAAUGCGUAGAGAUGGGGGAGAACACUCGUGGCGAANGCGGCCAGCUGGACCAGUCCUGACACUGA